GACGAACGCUGGCGGCGUGCUUAACACAUGCAAGUCGAACGCUGAAGCUCAGCUUUUGUUGGGUGGAUGAGUGGCGAACGGGUGAGUAACACGUGAGUAACCUGCCCCCUUCUUUGGGAUAACGCCCGGAAACGGGUGCUAAUACUGGAUAUUCACUGGUCUUCGCAUGGGGGUUGGUGGAAAGGGUUUUUCUGGUGGGGGAUGGGCUCGCGGCCUAUCAGCUUGUUGGUGGGGUGAUGGCCUACCAAGGCUUUGACGGGUAGCCGGCCUGAGAGGGUGACCGGUCACAUUGGGACUGAGAUACGGCCCAGACUCCUACGGGAGGCAGCAGUGGGGAAUAUUGCACAAUGGGCGCAAGCCUGAUGCAGCGACGCCGCGUGAGGGAUGGAGGCCUUCGGGUUGUGAACCUCUUUCGCUCAUGGUCAAGCCGCAACAAUAGUUGUGGUGAGGGUAGUGGGUAAAGAAGCGCCGGCUAACUACGUG
This 483-nucleotide ribosomal RNA is filed under the name uncultured bacterium. Its description in RNAcentral is "partial 16S ribosomal RNA". It matches the Rfam family "Bacterial small subunit ribosomal RNA", at positions 28 to 507 of the family's 1533-position model. The record is from RNAcentral.